This 233-nucleotide ribosomal RNA is filed under the name uncultured bacterium. RNAcentral's name for it is "partial 16S ribosomal RNA". It matches the Rfam family "Bacterial small subunit ribosomal RNA", at positions 118 to 351 of the family's 1533-position model. The record is from RNAcentral.
UGAGCAACCUGCCCUUCUCUUCGGAAUAAGCGUUGGAAACGACGUCUAAUGCCGAAUACGACCUCCUUUCGCAUGAUCGGAGGUGGAAAGCUCCGGCGGAGAAGGAUGAACUCGCGGCCUAUCAGCUAGUUGGUGUGGGUAAUGGCCCACCAAGGCGACGACGGGUAGCCGGCCUGAGAGGGUGACCGGCCACACUGGGACUGAGACACGGCCCAGACUCCUACGGGGAGCAG